This 458-nucleotide ribosomal RNA is filed under the name uncultured bacterium. RNAcentral describes it as "partial 16S ribosomal RNA". It matches the Rfam family "Bacterial small subunit ribosomal RNA", at positions 338 to 795 of the family's 1533-position model. The record is from RNAcentral.
CCUACGGGUGGCAGCAGUGAGGAAUAUUGGUCAAUGGGCGAGAGCCUGAACCAGCCAAGUCGCGUGAGGGAGUACUGCCCUAUGGGUUGUAAACCUCUUUUGUCGGGGAGCAAAAGCCGGACGUGUCCGGCUGUGAGAGUACCCGAAGAAAAAGCAUCGGCUAAAUCCGUGCCAGCAGCCGCGGUAAUACGGAGGAUGCGAGCGUUAUCCGGAUUUAUUGGGUUUAAAGGGUGCGCAGGCGGAUUUUUAAGUCAGCGGUAAAAUCGUGGGGCUCAACCCCAUCCAGCCGUUGAAACUGGGGAUCUAGAGUGUGCGAGAGGUAUGCGGAAUGCGUGGUGUAGCGGUGAAAUGCAUAGAUAUCACGCAGAACCCCGAUUGCGAAGGCAGCAUACCGGUGCACAACUGACGCUCAGGCACGAAAGCGUGGGUAUCGAACAGGAUUAGAUACCCUGGUAGUC